GACAGAGGGUGCAAACGUUGCUCGGAAUCACUGGGCGUAAAGGGCGUGUAGGCGGGAAGGAAAGUCGGGCGUGAAAUCCCUGGGCUCAACCCCAGGAACUGCACUCGAAAACUUCUUUUCUUGAGUGCCGGAGAGGAAAGCGGAAUACCUGGUGUAGAGGUGAAAUUCGUAGAUAUCAGGUGGAACACCAGUGGCGAAGGCGGCUUUCUGGACGGUAACUGACGCUGAGGAGCGGAAAGCCAGGGGAGCAAACGGG
This 256-nucleotide ribosomal RNA is filed under the name uncultured bacterium. RNAcentral describes it as "partial 16S ribosomal RNA". It matches the Rfam family "Bacterial small subunit ribosomal RNA", at positions 524 to 776 of the family's 1533-position model. The record is from RNAcentral.